Molecule: ribosomal RNA, 345 nt
Filed under: uncultured bacterium
Lineage: Bacteria
Description: bacterial SSU rRNA
Rfam family: Bacterial small subunit ribosomal RNA
Source: RNAcentral
GGGCGAAAGCCUGACGGAGCAACGCCGCGUGGGUGAUGAAGGUCUUCGGAUCGUAAAACUCUGUUAUUAGGGAAGAACAUAUGUGUAAGUAACUGUGCACAUCUUGACGGUACCUAAUCAGAAAGCCACGGCUAACUACGUGCCAGCAGCCGCGGUAAUACGUAGGUGGCAAGCGUUAUCCGGAAUUAUUGGGCGUAAAGCGCGCGUAGGCGGUUUUUUAAGUCUGAUGUGAAAGCCCACGGCUCAACCGUGGAGGGUCAUUGGAAACUGGAAAACUUGAGUGCAGAAGAGGAAGGUGGAAUUCCAUGUGUAGCGGUGAAAUGCGCAGAGAUAUGGAGGAACACC